This 2728-nucleotide long non-coding RNA is filed under the name Mus musculus (house mouse). Its description in RNAcentral is "long non-coding RNA chr10:3846584-3849312". The record is from RNAcentral. Lineage: Eukaryota; Metazoa; Chordata; Mammalia; Rodentia; Muridae.
AUGCAACCCGCUAUAGAAGCUGCCAACUUGAGUUCAAUCUCUGGAAACCAUCUGGGUUAGAAAGAGAAAAGCAACUCCACAAAGCUGUUCUCUGGCAACCAUAUGACUUCCAUGUGUUCAUUCGCUUCCCCAUUCCCUCCCACAGUAAUAUUAAUAUUUUUUCUUAAAAGAGUACAAACCUGUAUAGAGAAUGUGUAAAUUCCUGACCCUAAAAAACAAAAAUGAAUCUAAUAGUAAAAUUUUAAUUCCUAAUGUCCAUAGACUAGCUUAGUCUGUUGUAAGCAAUUGAAAGUUUGCUGAACUUGGACAUGGGAUAGCUGCUCUCCCGUUCUUUAGCCAUUGGUGAGUUAUUGUAGCUUUCUCAGUUUCCUGGGAAUCUUUGUGGGGUGUCCCAGCAUAGGACAUUUGACCUUUAGGAGAGAGAUAUGAGUGGGGACAGAGAGUGGGGGUAAGUUAGACGACACUCAAAUGGGUUGUACUGUGACUUGAUCCCUGGGAUUUGGGGAGGGGGCACACUAUAGCCCAAGAUAAAUUUCUAAUUCAAACUCUCUCCUGGGGCUGGCCCUGGGAUGGGGAGUCCUUUUAUGAAAGUUGUGCUUGCUCAUUGAGAAUCCAAGUGGCCCCAGCAGGGUUGUCAGCUCUGUACAGCUGGAGAGGAGGUUGGCUUCUCCACCUAUUGAGACAUGUGUUUACCCUGGCCAGCCUCACUGGAGGGAGAGGAUGCAGACAGUCCCCUAGAGUGUAAAGGAACGGGGCCAUGUUUUGUUUUCUAAUACCAGGGCAGCUUUCUUAUAAGAAGGAUCAAAAAUGUCCCCACAUUUUUGAUCUGCUUAGUGUCUGCUUAGGAGUGUAAUCCUAGAGUUUUUUAUAAUCAACUCUUAGGGGUCUGCUUCUUGUGAACACUUGAGGCAUUUGUUCUGUUUCUUGUUUAUCUUUAAUAUAAUGUUAUAAGUAAAGACUAAACAUUGAUAAUAUAUCAAAUGGAAUUCUGUAAGCUUCAGUAAUUAAAAUUUUGUUAUUAUAGUCACUUUUUAAUCUAUAAAUUGUUUCUAAUCAUCCUUACUGUUUCACAAUAAUCAAAUUCUCAUAUAGAUUCUUUGUUCGUUCUUAGGGAAACUGAAGCUCAACUAUGAGUGACCUUAUCAUCAAAGCUAUCAACCUUGACCUUGUUAUGUCAGUGAUGGUCAUUAAAAAUCAUUAGCAUAAUAAUGAUUUGACUCUUUAAGUUGACUAUAUAUUAUGAAAAUAAGACAUACAGGAAAAUCCUAUUUAUUCCAGCUCAUUAAAAUAUCUAGUUUUAUUAUUCUCAUACACAGUUCCACAAACACAUACACACAAGAGUACAUGUACAUACACAUAUGUACACACACACACAUGCACAGAGUAUGCUCUAGCAAGCAUGUCUUUAUGUAAUUUAGCAAAUUGGUUAAGAAAAUAUAUAUGUAAAUACUGUAAUGGUAAUUGCUAAAAAUUACUUGAGCGUGUGUAAUAACAUACAAGCACCUGUAAAUGCCACUGGAAGUCAGACAAUAUUCAAAGCUCUAAAGCCCCUUAGUUUGUUCUUCCCUGACAAUUGUGUAUGAUUGGAGAUGGGAGUACGUGAAUUCUGAUCCAUGUGCCAAAUCUUGGGUUCAGUUCUUUGAAGGUGUGAAAUGGUUUCACUAAUCACUCUCAUUCCUAGAGGUGUCUUGAAAAUAAAUUCAUUUGAUCAUGAUUUGGUCAUUAUUAUCAAGAUCACUCUCUCCCCCUCCCUCCCCCCACCCCCACCAAAUAAGUGUAUUUUGGGCAAUCUUUUUCCUAUAGCUGGUAUAAUGGUACAGUUCAAAGUAAUAUCAGAUAAGAAGGUGGACAUGCUACCUUUUGCCCAUUACGUGCUCUUGUCAUUCAUUACUCACAACCAAAGUGCAACUGGCAUCCAACCCGGGAGAACAUGAUGUGCCCUAUAGACUGGAUUGUUACCAAUGUCUGCCAUUAUACGUUAGCUCUGUGCGCUGUUGGGCUUGGACAAACUUAGUAUAGGGUGUAAGAGAUUCUUGUAUAUUAUUGGGUUGGUUUCAUGUGGGGACAGAGAGGGUUCCCUGAUUUAUGCUUAUUUAAAAACAAAAGAUACUAAUCCAAAACUAUUGUCUAGAACCUCAGGACUUUGGUACCUGGUGGAUAUUCAAGAAAAGAUGUUGUGAAUCAAUGCAAAAUGACUACCGUGUCUUCAAUCCCUGGAGGCGUCUAUGCACCCGGUAACUGCCUGGUAAUUGAGGUAUUUAGGUAUAUAUCCGUAGGUAUUCUGGGAUGCUGCUGUACCUAAAUCCCUUCACCACCCUGGAAGAUGGUGGAAGUCAUGAUGUUUCUCUACUCAACUUGAUUCAUACCACUUGGUUCCUUCCAAUUCAUCCAUGAAAAUACCCCAGCCCUGGUGACAUUCUGUCAGCACUUCGUAUGUACCAGGCUCAGCCCAUAUGCCUCUACUCAGUAAGUCACUGUUGACUCAGAAUAGUCCUUAAGGCCACAGAAAACUAAACAAGGUUAAACGUGACAAGCCUGAAUAAUAAUUAAAGUAUAUAUUAAUUAAAUAGAAAAUAUUAAUAUCACAUUUUUGUUAUUUUUAAAAUGUUAAAAAUAAAAACAUUAAGAAUAAUAUUAAAAGUAUAUAUUAAUAAUCAAAACAUUCCCAUUUUUGAAUAUUUUAUUAAGGAUCUUAAUGAAGGCAAUGGGCCUUCACAGCUAACCAAAU